Molecule: long non-coding RNA, 2414 nt
Organism: Wyeomyia smithii (pitcher-plant mosquito)
Lineage: Eukaryota; Metazoa; Arthropoda; Insecta; Diptera; Culicidae
Exons: 3
Source: RefSeq, a predicted model, not a curated record
AUCGGAAGAAGCUGUUGAACACAUGGUUGAUAUUUGUUGACACUCUUGAGUGAAAUUCAAAAAAAGCAUCCAUAAACGUUAUUUUUUUACAAUCCUGUCAGAGUUCUCCCUUCCCGCUUUUUGCAUGGAAGUGAACUGUCAAAACACCUCAUCAUAUUUCAUGUGACGAAAGCAAGACAACAAAAUCAGUUUAUCAGUUAACGAAGAUUGUCAAGGCAUCGGUCAGUGUCAGUGAAAAAGUGUUUCGGUGAGGUUCAUUUCGGUUGAGUGGACUGUUUGUUUUUCUUUUUCGCUUUGAAGUGAAGACCAUUUGGUUGGAUUUGUCGUCAAAUUUUAUUCCGUAACCGUGAACGAUGCGCGCGAUCUAUUUCAUAUGAGUAUAACAGCACGUUACUAGGACGAAAAUCUAGUGUAUCUGAAAGAGCGCUGCGAUCAUUGGAAGUGAAAAUUGAAAAUGAUUGGCUGUAAUUUUCGAAGAAUUUUGCUGAGGAAAAUGACUUUUAUCAGCACUGGUUGAACAUAAUCGACAAAAAAUGGCAAAAAAAGAUAAAAGUCAAAGCAACGAGAUGCGAUGAUUAUCAGUUUGGAAGAAACAAAUGCUUCACACUGGUUUACACGUUUACUAGUAUGCGUAGGUGAAAAGUCACUUAUCUCUAUGGGCUAGCUGUCAAAUUGCCGCAAACGCAGCCGCAACAUACUCUGAAACAAAUGUUGUAGUAACAAUAAACAUAAAACUGUUGUCAUAACUACUAUUAUUCAAAAUUGUCAUUAUAAAACAUAAUUAUGUUACAAAUACAGUAAAUACAAUUGAAAUUACUAUGUCCGCCGCGAUUUUGUCGUUGUGUUCUUCACAACUUUUUGUAUUAAAAAUGACAACUUUUCUGCAGUGGAACUUACUGUAUCAUGCAUUCUAAUCAAACAUAUUUUUGUCAGUGUAACCGAUUGCAUAGUAAAAAUGAGCACAUAUCAAUGAUAAUUUGGCCCACAGUUUUUCUGACAGCUAAGAAGACCGGUAACGGACGGUAACCGAAAUCAUUUGUGUUUUCCAAGUUAACCGAUGCGGUUUUUGUUUUGUUGCGUCACUUCGUUAUUUUCAAUAAUGUGCGAAGGUGAGAAUAAAGUGAAAAUAAUAAUUGACGAUAUUUCGGCGUAUCCUUUAUUGAUUAAUGAGCAUAAUGAAAUUCGUGAGUUUCGCGAUCUCUUCGGGAAUGAAUGGAAAAUUCAAUCCUAAUCGGUAAGUUCCUGGUUACUCUUCAUGUACUUCUCUGUUUGUUUUAUAGUUUGGCUGCUGACUGGAGCACAAAUCUAAUAAGCGAACAGCUGCCAUCCUUCUCCAAAAACAACGUUAAUUCUGCCAACUUUAAACGAUCGAUGGUUUCCGGUACGUUUACCGUGAAAGUAAACGGUUUUUUUUUUAUUUAAGACAUGAUGUAACAUCGAUGAAGCUGAGUUGCAAGAAAUUAUUUCUGUAGCGAAGUGGAUGAGAAAGCGAAAAUUACAAAAAUGGCCUGAAACUAUUCCCGGAGGACGCUGAAGGACAGAAAGAAAAUAUUUUUCUGAUCGGUCUAUAAAUUUUUCAUUAUCAAUAUCGGUUACCCAAAACAUUCAUGAUUACAUACUAGAGACGAAUGAAAAGGAAGGAUUGUCCGAAACUACUAUGAUAAACAUUGAAGAUUGGACUCGCAGCACAGUAAAUUUUUGACGCACAUCAUAGUGGAUUAUUAUAUUGCUAACGAAUGCUACAUCUCACUUGUCGAUAUGAUCAAAUUUGUGCAGUACAUCGCUGAUCGGUUUUCUCCAAAACUAGUCGUAAAAAGCUCAACAAGUUAACUUCUUAACAUAAUCAUUACCUCGUUAUAACCCUUGAGAAUGCAAGAUAGGAAAAAAGCAUUCCUCUGGACUUCUAUAUGAUCACUUCCACAAAAAACACUCUCUGUUGGAAAGACAAUCAUUUCAACGAACUGAUACCGAUUAUUGGAAAGUUCUGUCACAUUUAUUUAUGUUGAAUAAAUAUACCGGCUGAAUCACCAAGACUGUCCGACGAAAAUGGAUACCUUUUGAUUGACGUGAAUAUUGAUGCUAUUCAUGGAAAACUACAUAAAGUUAUCUUCGACACAUGGAAAGGAUUUAUUCAACAAUUCCAAUUUCAGCAAUCCCUGUUGAACCAUCUAGAGGAAACAUUUAUUGCUUGAGGUAGAACAAUACAAGAAUCCCAUUCUCUAUAAACAUCUGAUCAAUUUAAGGCCCCUCGAUUUACCUUAUUGCGCAUUAUUAAAUUUAAAGAGUAAGUUACUAUAUACGAACUAGGUCAAGUUUUGACAAAGUCUAAUUGUCUACUCGCUUGUUAGUAAUGGCAGAUAGCAGAAUAUUCAAGUCAUUUCGUAUCAUUUAGAGUAAAAGAAGAACAGCAAAUG